GAUGAACGCUGGCGGCGUGCCUAAUACAUGCAAGUCGAGCGAACGGACGAGAAGCUUGCUUCUCUGAUGUUAGCGGCGGACGGGUGAGUAACACGUGGAUAACCUACCUAUAAGACUGGGAUAACUUCGGGAAACCGGAGCUAAUACCGGAGGAUAUUUUGAACCGCAUGGUUCAAAAGUGAAAGACGGUCUUUGUGUCUCUUAUCGAUGGAUCCGCGCUGCAUUAGCUAGUUGGUAAGGUAACGGCUUACCACGGCAACGAUGCAUAGCCGACCUGAGAGGGUGAUCGGCCACACUGGAACUGAGACACGGUCCAGACUCCUACGGGAGGCAGCAGUAGGGAAUCUUCCGCAGUGGGCGAAAGCCUGACGGAGCAACGCCGCGUGAGUGAUGAAGGUCUUCGGAUCGUAAAACUCUGUUAUUAGGGAAGAACAUAUGUGUAAGUAACUGUGCACAUCUUGACGGUACCUAAUCAGAAAGCCACGGCUAACUACGUG
This 497-nucleotide ribosomal RNA is filed under the name uncultured bacterium. RNAcentral's name for it is "partial 16S ribosomal RNA". It matches the Rfam family "Bacterial small subunit ribosomal RNA", at positions 28 to 507 of the family's 1533-position model. The record is from RNAcentral.